CUGCUAUUGACAUUUUUGAAUCGGGACAAAUGUGGAGUGAAGAAAAACGUUUGCAACACAUCCAUUCCAGAGUGCUCUGACAGAUAAAACUGACACGCUUGAUGAGGACACAGUCAAAGCUUUAAAAGCCCGUGUGAUAAAGCAGUCUUCAAUUACUACGGUGUCUGAAUUGCAAGAAGAAAUGACCCUCCACUUAAACAUGUGACAUCUAAACUGUUUUGUGUUUUAGUUCAGCUUUUUAUAGGUUUAUCUUAAGUUGGUUAAAGGCAGAGUGCACUAUUUUUGAAAGCCAAUGUUAACAUUUGAAAUUACCUAAACAAACAUGCCUCUACCCCAAUAGAAUCUGGACCUUCUUUUGAUAGAGCCACCACACACAUACGCA
This is a long non-coding RNA of Paramisgurnus dabryanus, 382 nucleotides long. RefSeq lists it as uncharacterized. The record is from RefSeq and is a predicted model, not a curated record. NCBI's taxonomy places the organism in Eukaryota, Metazoa, Chordata, Actinopteri, Cypriniformes, Cobitidae.